GCAGAGUUGGAAGCAGGACAGAACUGCUCAUUUUUGUAAGACAAUAUAAAUGUCCAUGUUUUACAGAACCCACGAGUAAACAACUCCAAUCAUAACACACUUGAUGUCAUCAUUCAUGUGUGCAACAUAUGUGGUGCAGAAUUGAAAUCUGCCG
Molecule: long non-coding RNA, 154 nt
Organism: Thalassophryne amazonica
Lineage: Eukaryota; Metazoa; Chordata; Actinopteri; Batrachoidiformes; Batrachoididae
Exons: 3
Source: RefSeq, a predicted model, not a curated record